GUGGGGAAUAUUGGACAAUGGGGGGAACCCUGAUCCAGCCAUGCCGCGUGUGUGAAGAAGGCCUUUUGGUUGUAAAGCACUUUAAGCGAGGAGGAGGCUACCGAGAUUAAUACUCUUGGAUAGUGGACGUUACUCGCAGAAUAAGCACCGGCUAACUCUGUGCCAGCAGCCGCGGUAAUACAGAGGGUGCAAGCGUUAAUCGGAUUUACUGGGCGUAAAGCGCGCGUAGGUGGCCAAUUAAGUCAAAUGUGAAAUCCCCGAGCUUAACUUGGGAAUUGCAUUCGAUACUGGUUGGCUAGAGGAUGGGGGAGGAUGGGAGAAUUCCAGGUGUAGCUGUGAGAUGCGUAGAGAUCUGGAGGAAUACCGAUGGCGAAGGCAGCCAUCUGGCCUAAUACUGACACUGAGGUGCGAAAGCAUGGGGAGCAAACAGGAUUAGAUACCCUGGUAGUCC
Molecule: ribosomal RNA, 451 nt
Filed under: uncultured bacterium
Lineage: Bacteria
Description: bacterial SSU rRNA
Rfam family: Bacterial small subunit ribosomal RNA
Source: RNAcentral